UACGUACAUAUAUAUUAUAUAUAUAUAUUGUAUACAUAUGCCGAUCGCACAAGUUUUUUUUUCUUUUACUGUACGUACAAUGUACCAGGCAUGUGAAUAUGUACAUGUAAAAAUAAGCGGUGCAAGUAAUUAUUAUUUGUAAAUACAACAAUGACAGGUUCGUUCGGAUACAAAGCAAUGACGCAUUGAUAGUUCGACGAGGCUGAUUCGAAAUUGUGCGUUUGUUUGUUGGGAUUGUACUAUUCGAUGUAGUACCUUCGAGAACUCUGAUACGUUGGCGAUUUUCUCGAUCGCGUAACGACGCGUACACGUGUAUGUGCAUUUAAAUCUCUCGACAGUGAUUGCGACCAUUUUUCAUUGUUAUUUUAACGUAACGACGAAUUGUAUUUUCUUUUUUGUUCUCCUCGAUGCUGCAACAGAUUCAGACGGCCCGAUCGCGUUUACGAUCGCGUCGUGCGAAUAGAAAUCGUCGAUGAACACAGCACGUCGUCCACGAAGUGCAUUAUCCGCUUGCAUUUCGCAAUAUCCUUUGUGGACCACGUUGCUGAGAGAGCAUUGCCUUAAAAAGCGAAUGUUGAAGUAUGUAGACCGAGAAUGGGCAUGGUUGGAAUCGUCGUACCGAGAGACAGAGGUGCACAAGCUGAUGGAUGCAACGUUGCUGGUAAUCAUUGUCGGUAAAUAAUUAAAUGUACCCGGUCGAAUUCGAUUCGUUGGCACGACUGCAUCAUCGAGGUCAUUUAAUUGGUUUAGGAAAAAAAUUCGAAAUUCUAAAUUUCGAUUCGUUACACGUUUCUAACAAAGUCACGGAACGUCUGCUCGUAGAUAAAUACGCGUUUUGCGCUAUCAUGUUCGCGUUUAUGUUAAUAAUACAGAGUCAUUUAUUGUGAUCGUACUAUCGUUACACUGUUAUUCGAUAAGAAAUUGUUUUUACACAGUCAGCGAUUACUGCUGUAAUCAUUGUUAAAAGUUAUCUUCGGGAGAAAUUAGAUUCAUCUGUCCAAUUUAGAAUAAUGUAUUUAUUUAAACGGCCACGAUCAGUGCAGAUUCAAAUGUGAACAUUGUAACGCUGUAUUCGAGUUGUGGUUGUCUUUCGAAUAAUAGAAAUGUUCGUUUUUCGUAUAUCGUAAUUAUUUAUGUAUAUUCGAAAGGAAAAGCUUCGAUGUUUUGUCACCGAAGAAAAGGAAGGAAAAAGGGAAAGAAGAGAGAGAAAAGAGAAAGAAAGGAUGGAGAAAGCUAGAGAAACGUCUUCUACAAUGAGCGUUCGCCGAAGCUCGGAUCGUGGUCUCGUGCAAACAUACGUAGUUCUAAUACGAUUCAGUGAGAAACAAAGUUUUCAGAAGUCUUAAUGCAAGGCGAAGGUCGACUCGUGAACGACGUAUGCAUCUGCGUAUAUGCAUAGAGACUGGAUAAUCGUUCUCAAAGUUGGAAUUAUUAAAUCAAUGACGCAUGCACGAAUGCAUGGAAAGUCAAUAAGUUCAAUCGUUCGAGAUUACGAUUAUCAUUCGAAUAAAUACCGAUGCAUUUUCUACGUGUGCAGAGAUGUAAAGGUGCUAUUUUUAUUUCUGGUUAAAUUGUUUCACCGCGGAAAACGUAGAGCGAAAGAGAGGGGCGAUAGUGUGGAAAGGAGAGAGGGGGAAGCGUCACUCGAUCGAACAGACGCGCCGAUUCGUCUUAAUUUAUUUCGAACAACAAUACGUUCGUUAUUGUUUCUGUCAGCUUCUCACUUUUCAAUGCCUUUGACGGUAAAGUAGAAUUAAUCGCUUGCGUCAGACGAUUAUUAUGAUUUACCUUGGAACGUUCUUUGAAUAUUUUCGCUAAUCGUCUUCGCGUGUGUAACGAACACGUUACGUUUAUGAUUAACGGGUAUUUCAUUAGUAGAACGAACGCGUAAACGUCAUACGGUCUUUCCGUGAAAGUAUCGCAAAACGUAUAAAAGAAGAUGUAUCUCAGAGUUCCCUGUAAAUUUCCCAGAUGUGACAUAGUUUUUCGGAGGGUCACAAUUCAUAAUUUAACGUGAGACCACUUCGACUUGAAGACUUAUUAGAUAAAAUUGUGAAAGGCAAGAGAAAAAAGCUACUUGUGCCUCGAGCGCGGCAACUAUCCUAUUCGUUAAGCAAGGGAACGAGAAGAGCCACGUAUUGUGUCGAAGUAAUUUGUAUGAAAAUAUAUGUGUACGAUGAUCGAUCGUUAGUGUUGUCCGAAGUCUAACUUUUCCUUUCUAGUCUUCAACGUAUUGUUCGCUAGGAUCCAAAACGUUCAAUAAUCACGAGCAUACUUUUGCCAUGAGGAUAACGCUUUAUAAAAUCGGGGACAUUGUUUUCGAAUAACGAUGCAUCGUGGUUAGAAUGAUGCUCGAAUUUGGAAAUUGGCGAACACUCUAUUGGAAGUAUAAUUAUUUGGAAACUUAUUUGGAAAUUACGUAAACGGAGAAAGGAAUUUAUCUCGUCGAUUUUACCGAAGAAUUAGACGACGGUUCACUUAAUUGUUCGUGCAUAAAUGUAUUCACGUAAUAAUGGAUGAGAACAGAGAAACUAAGAAAGCAAAAGGGAGAGAAGAGUUUUAUCGACUCGUCAAUAAGUAACCCCCCUCCCAAAGAAAAAGACCCGUGUUUUCUCCCUAAUUCUUAAUGAAUUCGUUGUUGCGUGUCUCUUAGAAGUAUGUUUAGCUGAAGACUUAAGAAAGAUGAAUUACUAUUGAUGCAGGCGCAAAAGUAAGAGCGAAAGGAGGAAUCGUUGAACAGUAACAUUCGAAUAAGCGCUAACUAUAGAGUGAAUGAAUAAUAACUCGUAGAAAGCAAAAAAAAAAAAAA
Eufriesea mexicana is the source of this 2809-nucleotide long non-coding RNA. RefSeq lists it as uncharacterized. The transcript is spliced from 2 exons. Lineage: Eukaryota; Metazoa; Arthropoda; Insecta; Hymenoptera; Apidae. The record is from RefSeq and is a predicted model, not a curated record.